This 253-nucleotide ribosomal RNA is filed under the name uncultured bacterium. RNAcentral's name for it is "partial 16S ribosomal RNA". It matches the Rfam family "Bacterial small subunit ribosomal RNA", at positions 524 to 776 of the family's 1533-position model. The record is from RNAcentral.
UACAGAGGUCCCGAGCGUUGUUCGGAUUCAUUGGGCGUAAAGGGUGCGUAGGCGGCGGGGUAAGUCUGAUGUGAAAUCCUGGGGCUCAACCCCAGAACUGCAUUGGAUACUGCCUUGCUAGAGUACUGGAGAGGAAACUGGAAUUUACGGUGUAGCAGUGAAAUGCGUAGAGAUCGUAAGGAAGACCAGUGGCGAAGGCGAGUUUCUGGACAGUAACUGACGCUGAGGCCCGAAGGCCAGGGGAGCAAACGGG